Non-coding RNA from Stegodyphus mimosarum, 73 nucleotides. The record is from Rfam. NCBI's taxonomy places the organism in Eukaryota, Metazoa, Arthropoda, Arachnida, Araneae, Eresidae.
GCUUUCGUGGUGUAGUGGUCUGCAUGUUCGUCGCGUAACCGAGAGGUCCGUGGUUCGAUUCCCGGCGAAGGCG